RNAcentral lists this ribosomal RNA (2037 nucleotides) under Triticum aestivum (bread wheat). RNAcentral's name for it is "partial small subunit ribosomal RNA". Lineage: Eukaryota; Viridiplantae; Streptophyta; Magnoliopsida; Poales; Poaceae. The record is from RNAcentral.
AUGUUCCGCAACAAGGUCCUCGUGCGCGCCGUCCCCGUCCCCUCCUCUUCCUCCUCCGCACCGUCGCCGCCGUUCCUCCUCCGCCAGGUCUCCUUCUCCGCCGCCGCUCCAUCCCUCGACCUCGACAUCCUCUGCUGCAGGCUGUCCCGCCGCCACCGUCUCGCGUGCCUCCCCCAGCCCCCAGCCGACGCCCUCGUGGUCUACCAGAGAUGCCAGUCUCGCGCGGCCGCCGAGGUGGCCUCCGAGAUCGCGGCUGCCUUCACGGGCGCCUCGGUUGGCGAGGAGGAGGAGGUGGUGUGCUCAGGCGCGCUGGUUGCAAAAGCGGUUGAGUGUGGACUGCGAUGUCUGACGCUUGAGCGUGGAUGGAGCUUUGUCGGGGAGAGCAUAUACGCCCAGUCCACGUUUGCUGCCAGUGAGGAGAGGACUGAUCUCUGCGUGUUGAAUGUGGAAGUCAGAUCUGGACUAAAUGAUGAUUAUGAGUUUGUUGUCUCACCUGAUGCAUUUCGGUUUACUACACUUAAGAUCUCAGAUGUUGCUAGCUCCAAUGUGAUGGAAACGUUCCAACAUAUUAAGGAAGUAAGUUUGGAUGGUUAUAACCUCCAGACAGCUUGUGCAAUUCUUCCAACAUUACAGGAAGGCCAUGUGAUUGGUUUUAGUGAACUACCUCCUUCUGGACAGAUCUUGGACAGCUUUACAAAGCUUUGCUCAGUUAAGCAUGGUUUGGAGAUGAACUACAGUUAUCAUGCAGCAGUCAAACUGACAUGCGGAGCUUCCUGCGAGAAGCAAUGGUUGCCUUCUCCAUUUGUCCUCCAAGGUCCGGGGCUUCAGCCUGCCCCAAAAUCUGUUAGAGCAUCAAAGGCAAUGUCUUCCAUGCGGUCUUUUAUAGAAUUGUUGAAAGCUUGGAAUUUCUUUGGUCAGAGUCAACUAGUAAUCAAGGAACAACUGGUAGUUAACUGCACAGCUACUCUGCCUACUUGGGAUAAAGCCACAAGUAAACUGGCAAUGCACACUGCAAGAGCCGAAAAUUCAGAGGAUCUUCGUUUAGUUCAUCCAGGUUUUAUGGCCAAAGACCAAUCAUUGACUUUAGACUUCCGGACCCCCAAACCAGCUGUCUUUUGCUCUUCGGUUGCCAAAUUGUGCAAUACCAAAGUUGAGAUAGCUCAGUCUUUGGAUGAUGCUGGCACUGGCGAUGACACACAUUCCAUCAAGCAUGGUUGUCAAUCAGAGUCUGUUGUCCUAACCAGUUCAUUCAAAUCACAAAUAACAUUAUUGAAGCCUUCAUUUAGCAGAAGUAAACGAGCAGAUAAAAGCAAAACAAGCUGUUCUUCUGAACAAUCUGAUGCUGAUAGUUCAAACAGAUCGAGUGAAACCAGCCUACCAAAAUCGUCACUUGGAAGUUUUCCUAAAGCAAGCCAUGCUAAUCCUGUCGAUUCAUCAUGUGCAAGUCUUCUCAAGCAAGUCAUUCAGACUUCUGUGAAUCCUAAAAGGAAGCAUGCAGAGAUUCUAGAAAACAGUGGUGAAGGAGGAACUGUAAAAGUGCACCAAAAGGAUUGUUGUGAAAAGAGGAACUUGGAUACGAGGAAGAGUAAAGAUUGUGCACCUAAUGUCCCGCAAGACACAGCAUCAGUGCUACAUAUUCAGAAGGAUGUGUUUAGAACAAAAGUAAAACCGACAAAAUCAAAGUCUAUGGUUGGCAAGAAUGAGAUAACUGCUGCAACAACUUCGAAAAGAAAGCCAGAAGUUGUCAAAGACGAGCUAACCAAAAAGGCAAUAGAUCAUCAAAAGGAUGUUACUAACAAGGUGACAAAGGCAAAGCCAGGAAGUGUUAAGGAUGAGUCAACUUCAAUAACAAAGACAAAAACAAAGCCAGAUGUUGAUAAGGACGAGUUAACUGCAAAGGUGAUAGAUCAUCAUAAGCGAGGUCAGCUGCGUCUGCUUACAGUUGCUGAUCUAAAGUGCUUUCUCAGUGCAAAAAAAGCAAAAGUUGGAGGUUCAAAGGAAGUGCUUAUCCAAAGAGCAACUGAACUCCUUUCUUGA